UACGGGGGGAGCAAGCGUUGUUCGGAUUUACUGGGCGUAAAGGGCGCGUAGGCGGCCACCGCAAGUCGACUGUGAAAUCUCCGGGCUUAACCCGGAAAGGUCAGCCGAUACUGCGGGGCUAGAGUGCAGAAGGGGCAACUGGAAUUCUCGGUGUAGCGGUGAAAUGCGUAGAUAUCGAGAGGAACACCUGCGGCGAAGGCGGGUUGCUGGGCUGACACUGACGCUGAUGCGCGAAAGCGUGGGGAGCGAACAGG
Molecule: ribosomal RNA, 254 nt
Filed under: uncultured bacterium
Lineage: Bacteria
Description: partial 16S ribosomal RNA
Rfam family: Bacterial small subunit ribosomal RNA
Source: RNAcentral